UACGGGGGGGGCAAGCGUUGUUCGGAAUUACUGGGCGUAAAGGGCUCGUAGGUGGCCAACUAAGUCAGACGUGAAAUCCCCAGGCUUAACCUGGGAACUGCGUCUGAUACUGGAAGGUUCGAGUUCGGGAGAGGAAUGUGGAAUUCCAGGUGUAGCGGUGAAAUGCGUAGAUAUCUGGAGGAACACCGGUGGCGAAGGCGGCAUUCUGGACCGAAACUGACGCUGAGGCGCGAAAGCCAGGGGAGCAAACGGG
Molecule: ribosomal RNA, 253 nt
Filed under: uncultured bacterium
Lineage: Bacteria
Description: partial 16S ribosomal RNA
Rfam family: Bacterial small subunit ribosomal RNA
Source: RNAcentral